GCCUGGGUGGCUCAGUCAGUCAAGCAUCUGACUUCGGCUCAGGUCAUGAUCUCGCGGUCCGUGGGUUCGAGCCCCAUGUCGGGCU
RNAcentral lists this transfer RNA (85 nucleotides) under Felis catus (domestic cat). It matches the Rfam family "tRNA". From Rfam's summary of the family: Transfer RNA (tRNA) molecules are approximately 80 nucleotides in length. Their secondary structure includes four short double-helical elements and three loops (D, anti-codon, and T loops). The record is from Rfam by way of RNAcentral. Lineage: Eukaryota; Metazoa; Chordata; Mammalia; Carnivora; Felidae.